Molecule: ribosomal RNA, 403 nt
Filed under: Fusobacteriota bacterium
Lineage: Bacteria; Fusobacteriati; Fusobacteriota
Description: Fusobacteria bacterium partial 16S ribosomal RNA
Rfam family: Bacterial small subunit ribosomal RNA
Source: RNAcentral
UGGGGAAUAUUGCACAAUGGGGGAAACCCUGAUGCAGCGACGCCGCGUGAGCGAAGAAGGUUUUCGAAUCGUAGAGCUCUGUCCUAUGGGAAGAUAAUGACGGUACCAUAGGAGGAAGCCCCGGCUAACUACGUGCCAGCAGCCGCGGUAAUACGUAGGGGGCAAGCGUUGUCCGGAAUCACUGGGCGUAAAGGGUUCGCAGGCGGAAAUGCAAGUCAGUUGUGAAAGGCAGAGGCUCAACCUCUGUAAGCAAUUGAAACUGUAUUUCUUGAGAUGUGGAGAGGCAAGUGGAAUUCCUAGUGUAGCGGUGAAAUGCGUAGAUAUUAGGAAGAAUACCGGUGGCGAAGGCGACUUGCUGGACACAAACUGACGCUGAGGAACGAAAGCGUGGGUAGCAAACAGG